GGCCCCCUAGCUCAAUUGGCAGAGCAGCUGACUCUUAAUCAGCUUGUUCCGAGUUCAAGUCUCGGGGGGGUCACCA
This 76-nucleotide transfer RNA is filed under the name Chloroflexota bacterium. RNAcentral's name for it is "tRNA-Lys". It matches the Rfam family "tRNA". From Rfam's summary of the family: Transfer RNA (tRNA) molecules are approximately 80 nucleotides in length. Their secondary structure includes four short double-helical elements and three loops (D, anti-codon, and T loops). Further hydrogen bonds mediate the characteristic L-shaped molecular structure. tRNAs have two regions of fundamental functional importance: the anti-codon, which is responsible for specific mRNA codon recognition, and the 3' end, to which the tRNAs corresponding amino acid is attached (by aminoacyl-tRNA synthetases). tRNAs cope with the degeneracy of the genetic code in two manners: having more than one tRNA (with a specific anti-codon) for a particular amino acid; and 'wobble' base-pairing, i.e. permitting non-standard base-pairing at the 3rd anti-codon position. Lineage: Bacteria; Bacillati; Chloroflexota. The record is from RNAcentral.